GAAGUGCUGUUGAGGGGAGAGCAAGAGAGUGUGUGUCUGGACCUGCAGAGAGAAGAGCUGCAGCAAGCAGGCCCUCGCAGAGUGAAGCAGCCAAGAAGCUGCCUGAAGCCUGGGAGGGACAGAGCAGCCGAUUGGGGACUCCCCAGGACAGGAGCCAGGAGGAGCACCGUGCCAGGCAGGAAUUGCCCAAGAAGGACAGGCUGGAGCUGGAGCCAGUAUCACUGCUGCCCAGAGCUGCCUGGGGCUGUGCAGAGAAUGCAAGUGACAGGGAGAGAGAGGGUGUGUCUGCCCCUUCCUUUUAUAGUCCCCUGCCCCUUUUGAGAAGCAUUUCCAGCUGGAAGCAAGGUGACAGGCUGACUGUGUGGAAGGACACUCCAUGCUGUUCUGCAGCUAAGAUGUAGAUUUUUGCACCUGGCUCCUUUCCUGCCAAAGAAUGGCUACUGAGCAGUGAGAGGAACUACCUUGCGGCCCUGUGCCAGUGCCAUCCUCAGCCGGCUCCUCCCUUGCUUCCUCCAAGGUGACAGAACACUAUCUCCACCCUCACUGUGCCCGUGGAGACAUAAGCAAGGAGUGGGGAGCUCAGAAACUGGGCUCCAGAGACUUGGAUUCUCUCUGAUGGUAACAUUACCCCCCUCGCCCCGCCCCGCCAUUUCCCCACAGUGCAAAUCACCCAGUCUCACACAGAGGACCUUGCUUGAUGCCAGUGUGUGUGUGUCUAGGUUUUUGAUUCCUUCCUUCCUGACCCCUCCAGCCAACCCUCAGUGCAUGGUCCCUUGUGUUUACUACAGGAGGGGAAGCAGGUUGCCUCAGAACUGGGGCUGAUAAGAGCCAAUGACAAAAAGAAUUGUCUACACUGCUGGGUGCAAGGGACUUCUCUUUGUGCACAGAGAGGGAUGUCUAUUGAAGCAGAAAGGCUCUGGGAAUGCAGUAGCUGAAUAAUAGGGAGAGAUUCUAGGUGUCAACAACAAAAGAGAAAUGGAGGUUAGGUUGGGAUGCAUUAGCUAACCUGACCCUAAAUGUGACCUCUUUACUAAUGUACGUGCAGGGUACCAGUUUCUCAGUUAACUUUUCAGGGGGUUCCCCAAGCUCUCCACAGGCUCCACCUUGGCUAGCUAAACCAAGACUGAGCACUUAUACUGCAUUGCCACUAGGGAAGUGGUCACUGUGAAGGUUAGUUAUCAUACCCCAGCCUGAUCUCCAGCACUUUUCUUGUGUAGACAAGGCCUGAAAGAGCUACAUCUGUCUGGCUCUGGUAAGCAGUGACCAAGUGGAGAGCACAUGAGCGCUGUCUGUAAAGAUCUGAAGGGGGUUAGGAUCUGGGGGUUGAGGGGAGAAGUUUAGGGGUAAAACUAGGAGGAAGGGAAUGAAAUGAAGGAAGGACAUUACACUUGAAGCUCAGUCUGUUUAUAAGGGAUCUCUUAGCCUGUGGAGUCUCUCCCUAAGGGAAAAGCUGGGAGCCCCUUCCCCCAGGACAUUUAAAUCUGGCUUGGAAAUCUCCCCUAUCUGGUUCUAGAUGUUGCUUCCCCCACUGGAAAUCCAAUGAGGGGGCAGGUGUGGAGGGGAGCGGGGCAGCCUCUUCUUUUAACAACUGGGAUCCAGAGUCCAGUCUGUAAGGCCAAGACAGCAAUAGGGUGGGAAACAUCAGGCUGCUAUUUGGGCUAGAUGAUUAGCCAUCUCCCAGUUUGCCUGGGCAGUGGCGUGCUACAUGUGGAAGGAGCCUCCUUUGGGGCAAUUUCCUUUUUUUUUUUUUUUUUAAAAGCAUUCAGUUAAUUUUGAUUUAAUAAAGGGAAGUGUGGAAAAGUGUCAUUUCCCCUCCCCCAAUUCCAGAAUAUGGGUUAUUGAGCUAGAGAGGUUUUCGCAGCCCCCUUCCUCUUCCAAUCCCUCCUUGGGCUCACUUUCUCUUUGAUGCCCCUCUCCCAGGUGGAGCCCUUCCAAGGCAGUUGGGUAGAGCACAACAACACAGCUCUGAACGGCAUUUGCCUGCACUGUGCUGACAACACCAUUGUUGAGUUCUUUGUGGGGCUUUGAAUAGCUCUUUGGUUCCUCUCCCUUUGAAACAUCCCUUGUUUUUCUUCUCUGGUUGUUGCCAUAUCCCAGCACCAGCCAAAUGUCUCUCACGGUCUCCUCCCCUUAGCUCCAUGAGGCUGAUCUGGAGUUUCUUCUGCUGCUGUCAGAUGUGGGUGGUCAUGCUUAGUGGUUGGAGCAGGUAGCCAGGAACAGGCUCUGACCCCGAGCUCCUGAGUCCAAGGCCAGCUGGCAGAGUCAGAAGUCAGGAAUUGGAUCCAAGGGUCAGGCUGGGCUCCCUGGGGUGACGCAAGGCAGGAUGUGGAGCAGGAGCAGGGCUGAAUUCUCGGAAACAACUGAACAUUUUGGCUGAACAUUUUCUAGAAAAAUGCAGCCUGAGGCAGUCACCCAGCAUGGAAAAUUUCAGGGCAAACAGUUGCAGUUUGACAAGUUAUAAGCAACUUAGAAGAACUGUUGGGCAAUUUUAAUUAUAGGCAGUGCCAGCAGCCCAGUCUAUACUAAUAAAUGGGCUCCUUCUUCCAGGUGUUGUCAGCAGCAACAAAGUUUGGGUUCAGCUAUCUUAAGGGGUUUCUCUUUAAAUUAACAAACAACAGCAGCUUGAGCCCCCACCCAGAAACCAGGGAAAAAUGAACAGAAGAAUGGCCAUACAGGGUUCCCCUGGGUUCCCUUAGCAGGCAAUACUUGCCCUCUCGCAAGCAUUGAAUCUGAAUAUAAAACAAGGAAGACUUUAUUUGGGUGCAAGGGGACACAGAAUCAACUUGGGGAAACACACCAACUAUGCACAUAAAUGAAUAAACUAGCCAACCUAUGAUAUCUUUGGCAGAAGUCUGUUAACUCAGUUCCCCACCCUCCAGGUGAAUGUCCAAUAAGCAACUGCCUUUUUCACA
Long non-coding RNA from Chelonia mydas (Green sea turtle), 2912 nucleotides. RefSeq lists it as uncharacterized. The transcript is spliced from 3 exons. The record is from RefSeq and is a predicted model, not a curated record. Lineage: Eukaryota; Metazoa; Chordata; Testudines; Cheloniidae.